RNAcentral lists this ribosomal RNA (253 nucleotides) under uncultured bacterium. RNAcentral describes it as "partial 16S ribosomal RNA". It matches the Rfam family "Bacterial small subunit ribosomal RNA", at positions 524 to 776 of the family's 1533-position model. The record is from RNAcentral.
UACGUAGGGGGCUAGCGUUGUCCGGAUUUAUUGGGCGUAAAGAGCGUGUAGGCGGCCAGGUAGGUCUGCUGUGAAAACUCGAGGCUCAACCUCGAGACGUCGGCGGAAACCAUCUGGCUAGAGUCCGGAAGAGGAGAGUGGAAUUCCUGGUGUAGCGGUGAAAUGCGCAGAUAUCAGGAGGAACACCAGUGGCGAAGGCGGCGACCUGGGCCAAUACUGACGCUGAGGUGCGAAAGCGUGGGGAGCAAACAGG